ACUGCUUCGCUCUCUGCAUCGGUUGUGAAUAUUCUCAAAAUUCAUCAAAGACGCUAAAACUUUAUUAACUACGCACCCCGGGGUUGGUCUGUGAAGUGCAGUGAUUUGUGUUUCCCAAAAACUACCUAUUGGAUCGUGGAAGCUACCGGCGCUGGACGAGAGCUCGAGUUACGGACCAGAGUCCUGGUGACGGCGGCGGUGGGCACGAACUCGGCGGCGAGCGGGUUGAGGCGGGAGCGAACAAACUCAGCAGCGAGCGGGUUGAGGCGGGAGCGGGACACGGUCUCCGCGAGGGACAGCGACGGGGCGCCGUUGCUGUCGGCGAAGUCGUCGGGCGUCGCCGGCGCCGCGUAGGGCGCCGGGGGGUAAUACGCGCCGGCCAUGACGUAGCCUGGAUAUAUACAGGAAAAAUUUAAUGUAAACAUUCAUAUAAGAAUUUAUGACGUCAUGGUGAGAAAUUUGAUGACAUAUAACACGAUUGGUUCAACAUUGACAAAGUUAUUUGACAAGUAUGUGUUGCGUCACCU
Amyelois transitella is the source of this 527-nucleotide long non-coding RNA. RefSeq lists it as uncharacterized. The record is from RefSeq and is a predicted model, not a curated record. The transcript has 3 exons. NCBI's taxonomy places the organism in Eukaryota, Metazoa, Arthropoda, Insecta, Lepidoptera, Pyralidae.